This 1743-nucleotide long non-coding RNA is filed under the name Triticum aestivum (bread wheat). RNAcentral's name for it is "long non-coding RNA (TAES_LNC017657)". Lineage: Eukaryota; Viridiplantae; Streptophyta; Magnoliopsida; Poales; Poaceae. The record is from RNAcentral.
AGCCGGCUUUGACAUUCUCAAUCUAAAGAGCACCAUAGUUGUGUCCCUCACGCACUACAAAAGGGCAUGUAGAAUAACAAAACCAACAUCAUCUGAUCCAAGAUAAUGAUAGUAGUACUGAAAUUUUGAGGCCCUAUCUUUAUACUUCGCAACAUAGGAAAUAAUUAGUACCGUACGGCUUAUUAAAAUACUCUCUGCUUCAUGAAAUAAUCAAAAAAUGCACUUAUUUAAGGCGGUCUAUCUUUUGGAACUAUUUCCCUACUUGGUUCAGGAGCCGAUGGACCUCAUCAUGUUUUUGCAUACAACAAAGUAGUUGGUGCCCUACUAAACAGGAGCUGGAGAAGGUUCUAUCCAGCAUCAGGGAGGACUUCAUUUUUUUCUAUAAUUCUAACAAGUAUUAUGUAAAAAAAAAAUAUUUUUCUUUUGAUCUGGCUGGCAUUUAAAAUGUUGAUUCAAUUCAUGUCGUAAUUUUAUUUAUUUUUCUGUCUUGCUCAGUAAAGCUUCCGUUUGUUAAUUAGACUAAAGCUUCCAUACCUUUUACAAAAGAAAACAAAUAACCUGAUGCUAACGUCUGUUAGUUUUCUAUAUGUGGAAGACAAAUAUGUGUGAACCUGCAUGAAAAUGGCUUCACAGAGGCGCGUCGAGGCCCUCCAGCAAUACAAGUGCGAACCAACUCCGUCUCAAAGAUAUGGUAUGGGGUUUGUGUCCAGUUUAGAAGAAACUAUUAAAGCAAAGGUCUGACCUUAACUAAAUCCUUAUGGUAAUAUGCAACACUGAGGUUGAAAUGCUAUCACUCUAUCAUCCAAUACAUGCUUUACCAUUAAAAAAAGAACUACCUUCUUCAUCUUGCAAGAUUUUACCACUGAACAUUUGGAGAUUCAUAGUGUAUUUCCAUGCAUACACAACAAACUUUUUCUGAAAUUUUAUUAUUAUUUAGUUUCAGUUGGAUUCCGGGCUAGAAGUUCCUUUGGAUUACGAAGAGUGACUGACGGAUAAGAUGUAUAGUAUUAAUAUAAUUUCAUAAUGAUAGAUAUGUUGUAAACCAGAUGUGACUUCUAUGUGUCUAAAGAAUUUGUCAUAAUAGCACAAGAAUAUGGGCACUUUGUAUACAACACAAGAAUAUGGGCACUGUUUGUAUUCUUAUUAGGAUUAAAAAUAAAAAUAACAGAAAUGAACAACGGAAACAUCAUACAUACAACAAAUUUAGAGUAUAUUUGAGAAACUUUUGGAGCGGGUGUAAUACCUCAUUCAUGUGAUCUCAUAAGCACCCUGAUUCCGCAUUCAUGUGAUCUCACUGAUGCUUCAACAUCAACAAAUACAAUGAGCAUAUAUCCUUUGUAACACCAACUGGAAUCUGUCGAUGGGAAACCUGCAGCAUUAUUAAACAAACAAUAAUUCUGAAAAAUGAAAUGUCCAACUGAAAAUGAGUUGGUGAUGUAUAUACUCUUUCUCAGUAACUAUAGAACCUGAUUUCUGAAUGAAGGGUGCAAGUAAGGAAUUAAUUUGUGCAUAAUGGAGUUGAAUCAGUCCAGCAUCAUAAGAAUAGCAGAAAAGAAAAGAUAUUAAAAACCACAUCUAAAAUGUAAUACCUGUGGGUUGUGGCAGUCCAUAUAUCCAGCAAGCAUUACCCUGCAUUUUUGUAUGAUAGACCAAUGUAAAUGAUGUGCACCCACACCUUUUUGACAUAGUCAAAACUGCACUAUAACAAGUAGAAAUUUUUAUGGCACUGCAUUAUUUUUAUAC